RNAcentral lists this long non-coding RNA (344 nucleotides) under Coffea arabica (coffee). RNAcentral's name for it is "long non-coding RNA (CARA_LNC008287)". Lineage: Eukaryota; Viridiplantae; Streptophyta; Magnoliopsida; Gentianales; Rubiaceae. The record is from RNAcentral.
CGUUCUUGGUGCUUCCGGCACCUUUCUUGUGAGCGGACUCAAUCGUCAACGGAGCAUUCAAUGGAAAUGAGACGGUGACCUUGGGAGGGACGUGAAUGGUUCCAAAGUCUCCUCUGAGAAAAGUGGAUGACGACGAUGAGCUGGAACCUAGUGAUAGCCCUCUAAACCCUACUACUAAAUCCAAACUCAUGCUAGCCACUGCCAUUACUCCCGCCAAAUCCACAAUUUCUCGAGUUAAAAGGGAAAAAAAAAAAUUAGUCAGGGUUUAGGAACUUCUAGCCAAUUUCUGUGCGCAGCAGCAGCAAUUAUGUGGUUGAGUUUUUAGGGAUCUACUUGCAAUUACC